CAAUAGCGUAUAUUAAAGUUGUUGCAGUUAAAAAGCUCGUAGUUGGAUUUCUUGUUGAAGCGACCGGUCGGGCGUUGAUUCGUCUGCACUGGAGUCGGUUUUGGCCAUCCUCUAGGAAAGUGCGUCUGGUAUUAAGUUAUCGGGCGUAUGAUCCUGGUCUUUUACUGUGAAAAAAUUAGAGUGUUUAAAGCAGGCCUUCGCCUUGAAUACAUUAGCAUGGAAUAAUAAGAUAGGACUUUGGUCUAUUUUGUUGGUUUGCAGACCGAAGUAAUGAUUAAUAGGGAUAGUUGGGGGUAUUUAUAUUCCGAUGUCAGAGGUGAAAUUCUUAGAUUUUCGGAAGAUAAACUUAUGCGAAAGCAUUUACCAAGGAUGUUUUCAUUAA
This 382-nucleotide ribosomal RNA is filed under the name uncultured eukaryote. RNAcentral's name for it is "partial 18S ribosomal RNA". It matches the Rfam family "Eukaryotic small subunit ribosomal RNA", at positions 592 to 976 of the family's 1831-position model. The record is from RNAcentral.